This 253-nucleotide ribosomal RNA is filed under the name uncultured bacterium. RNAcentral's name for it is "partial 16S ribosomal RNA". It matches the Rfam family "Bacterial small subunit ribosomal RNA", at positions 524 to 776 of the family's 1533-position model. The record is from RNAcentral.
UACAGAGGGUGCAAGCGUUAAUCGGAGUUACUGGGCGUAAAGGGCGCGUAGGUGGAUAUUUAAGUUGGAUGUGAAAUCCCUGGGCUUAACCUAGGAAUUGCAUACAAAACUGGGUAUCUGGAGUACUGUAGAGGGUAGUGGAAUUUCCGGUGUAGCGGUGAAAUGCGUAGAGAUCGGAAGGAACACCAGUGGCGAAGGCGGCUACCUGGACAGAUACUGACACUGAGGCGCGAAAGCGUGGGGAUCAAACAGG